CCAAGGCGGCUGGUGGCAGGCAGCAGGAGAUGCCACAUCGCCUCUGGUUUUCCCCCUGCUCUGGUCAACUUUGCCAGAGGCUGCUCUCAGGGCAAGCCCUGCCCCUGGCCACCCCCAUCCAUCAGCUGGUGUCAGAGAUGGACAGAGGCAGCGCUGCCUAGUCCCAUCCCCCCUCCGGGUUUUUUUUCCCCUCCUUCCUCCCAGCCCCCUCUGUUUGCUUCUCCUCCUCCCCCUGCCUUGUGACACGGAGAGGGAGAGGGAGAGAGAAGGGUUCUUCCCUGGCAGCUCCUCUCUGCCGCCGCUGCAGUCAUGGCUGCGGAGGGGGUGGAGGAGGGGUCCCCGCUGCUCUCGGCGCCCAGCUCCGGCAGCGUCACCCCGACCGCGCCUCCCUAUCUGCCCGACGGCAGCCCCCGAGAAUUGCGGAAAAGCUGCGGAACAACAGCAGAACUCCCACCUCCAUAUACCGCCAUUGCCAGUCCAGAUGCCAGUGGUGUUCCUGUAAUAAACUGCCGUGUGUGCCAGUCUCUAAUCAAUUUGGAUGGCAAGCUUCACCAGCAUGUUGUUAAGUGCACAGUUUGCAAUGAAGCUACGCCAAUCAAAAACCCUCCUUCAGGGAAGAAGUAUGUUAGAUGUCCAUGUAAUUGUCUCCUAAUCUGUAAGGAUACAUCUCGAAGAAUAGGCUGUCCAAGACCCAACUGUAGACGCAUCAUUAAUCUUGGUCCAGUGAUGCUGAUUCCAGAAGAACAGCCAGCUCAACCUGCCUUGUCUGUUCAGCCAGAUGGUACUAGGGUAGUGUGUGGACACUGUGGAAAUACAUUUUUGUGGAUGGAACUGAGGUUUAACACUCUGGCAAAAUGCCCGCACUGCAAAAAAAUGGGCCCUGUGGGCUGGAUAGAAUGUCCCGGCGGGCCGCAUCCAGCCCGUGAGCCAUAUUUUGUCCACCCCUGGACUAGAUGAUCUCUGGAGGUCCCUUUUAGCCCUACUUCUCUAUGACUCUGACACCAUUAAGCAACAAGGAGGGGGGCUUAAACAUGCAGACUUCAGUCUUGAGGAGAGGAUAUGUGAGAAGGUACUUAGUCUUCAGGAGCCUGAAACCCAGUGGCAAGUGGCUAGCUGCUAAUAGUCUGCUCGGCCAGAAGGAUGCGAGCCAGCUCUGAUGGAUGACUAGUAAAUGGGAGUGAAGCCACAAAGAAGCUCAAUAUCUCCAGGAGCAGGGAACAAGGGGUGAGAAGAGAGGAGGCUGUGAUGCUGAGGGAGAAGCAUGGAGUCUGGGUUGUCCCUGUCAAGGUCUGAAGAAAGACAGCAGGUUUUGGUUUUGUUGAUUGUUUGCAGGCUUGUUUGUUUUGUUACUUUUGUUGAGUCAUGGAAAUAGGGGUGGGUGAGAGUGGUGUCCAGGGCAGGUGCCCAGUUAGGAGGGGCACCAUAAGGGCACCCAGUCCCCGUGAAGUCUGCCCUGAUAGCAUUCCCAUGCUGGGAACUCCAAAACAGUCUCUGGCUGCUGCCGCUUUUAAGAGCAACAGCCAGGGUGGGCAGAGCACGGGCACUGGCAAAAGCAGUGCUCAUUCCUGCUGUUGGAUCCUAUGACCUGCUCCCGCAUCCCAUUCCUUCCCUUCCUCUUGGACCCUGUACCCUCCCCGCUUGCUCUCGAAACCACGUGCCUCCCCCCACCUCUCUUCCGCAGGGUUUGUCCCAGGCAGCAGCUCGUGUUGUUAUGCCACUGGUUUUAUUUACUGGGGACAAGUUCACCCCAUAUAAAAUAAAUUGGCUGGAAACCCCAAGCACAGAGCUGAUUGACCUUAAUAAGGAAAGUGCAAGUGACUUGCUUACAGGCUCAAUACUGAUGUUUCUUUUGAGAAGGACAAACUUCCAGGUAUGCUGAGACAAGCAGUUAUUAAAUGUUUGCUCAAGAAGUCCUUUUUUGUCAAGAGUUUAAUAUGGUUUAUUGUAGACAUCUCUAAGAAAAUGGUGGUGGGUCAACUUAAUUCCUCAGGGUAUAUUGGUCCCUAUGGCAGUGUCCACACAAGCGCAGACAUUUAUUCCCCAGGGACAAGUAGCAAUGACGCACCUUGUGUUGCUGUGAUUUGUCCCUGAGGAGUGCCCAUACCAUGCACCCUCUGGCACAUGGCAGGUUACCCCGGGUGGGGUAGGGGAGGCUGGGGCCAGCAACUACGCUAGCCCCAGCAGUCUUACCUGGGGUCCCAGGGGCCUCAGGGUGCUGCAGCUGCAGCACUUUUCCUGCAGCUAGGAGCUUGGCCAACAGCUGAAACAAGCAUGGCUCCAGCCAGCAAGGCUCUGGUUUUGGAUGGUGCAUGCUCCCACCAUGUGUGCCACCCUGCUUUUUUUGGCAUGGGUGUUUUUUGACCCCGGGAUCUCCUGGGGUCAGAAAACAUCCCCAUGUUGCAAGGCAGAAUGAGGAAGACCUGCAUGUGCGGUGUGGUGCUACAAAUGGGUCUGCAGUGCCACAUACUGCAUGUCUGUGCUCAUCUGGACACAGCGUAUGAGACUGGCUCCAGCCAUUGGUACAGCCAAAAAACAGUUAAGGCACUGUUGGUGUUUAGUGUUCCUUUGGCAGUAGGUAAAGUUUCUCUUAUGAUUUUUUUUUUAAUGGGAUCUCUCAGCCAUCUGCCAGACAGUAAUGCUGGCUCACUUCAAAGUCUAGUGAAGAUGGAAGUGGCUCCCCACCUUUUCAUUUAUUUGCAUUGAAUUUGAAUUAGUUUGGCUCACUGGCUCAUGUGUAACCUUAUUGUUUAAAACACGGGUAUUAAAACAUUAAGGGACAGCAAAUGAAGUUUGUAAUGUGCUGGAUAACUUUUUAAAUCUAGGAUCCAGUGGCUCUGAUGGUAAUAAUACUUGCUAAACUAAAAAUGAAAUGUGGAUAGUCAAUCAGACCAAGUUGUAGAACUAAAAAAUCAGAGUACUUUUCAUGGUACUAAACACACUUGCCCUGCCACCCUGUUGGGGGAAGUUAAAGACCAAACUAGUAGAACCAACCUGGUGCCUUUACAAACUUUGUACAAAAAGCUGUUCUGGUUAUACUCUUUGCAAUAUUUCAGGUGCUGCUUCAAAAUUUUGAGGUUGCUAUCCUAAACUCGCGUUUAAUAAAAUGUUCUACCUUAAAUUGUUCUGGUCUGUGCUGGGCUGGGCUGACAGUUGUGCUUACUGCCAUUUGCCCCUCACUCCAAAAGUUGCCAUGUAGCAAUAGGGCAAUUAAUAGAGAUACUUUCUCUUCUGUUGACUACAUAACUUAAAAGCAGCAGAGAAAUGGCAAUGGAUUAAGAAUACUUAAAGUAGAACAGGGGGAUGGAAGAAUACUUAAGCAUCCAUGCAAAAGAUUGUGAUUUGGGCUGGUUAUACUUUUGGUGUUAGGUCUCCUGGCUCUCCUAAUACCCAAAACAAAUAUAACUAAAAGUAUUAGUUUUGUGGAGAAGUUGCAUAUCCUUCUAUAACACGGGUGGGCAAAAUGCGGCCUGUAGGCCAGAUGCAGCCCACCAGGCUGUUCUAUCCAGCCUGUGGGGCCCUUAAAAAAUUUAGAAAAUUAAUAUUUAUCUGCCCCUGACUGCCUGUCAUAUGGCCCUCAAUGGCUUGCCAAAACUUAGUAAGUGGCCCUCCACCCAAAAUAAUUGCCUGUCCCGGUCUAUAAGUUUCAGUAGUUAGCUGUUAGUUGGUCCCAUCCAAUCUGAUUAUGAGGAUGGUCAGUCAUUGGAACAGGCUACAUAAGGUAUCUCCAUUCUUGAAAAUUUCCAAGAGCGGGCUGGACAGACACUCGGCUGGAAUGGUUUUUAGUCAGGGAUGAUCCUGCCUUGAGCAGGGGCUGGAUGAGAUCACCUCGUGACGUCUCUUUCAGCCCUACUUUCCUGUGAUCCCAUGAUUCUUUCUAUUUUGCUUCUGCAACUUUUAUUAGGCAAUUUUAGAAAGGAAUUGCAAGAGCAGUGCUCUAGUCAGAUUUAUUUAGGUUGGUAGGUUUGAAGACAAGGUGCCUUCCUCAAAGUGUUUGUAGUGCAGCUUUCAAAGGAUUUGUUUACUUUGCUCACUGAUGGUGAUUUGUGCAGUUAAUUUGUAGUAUAUCUCAACUGGAAACCUGGAAAUGAUUAUGAUUCACCUAGCUACUUGAAAUGGACUUAAAGGUUAGUGUUCACAAGCGUAAUUCCCCUUUUUAUAUAAGUAAAUAUUUUCAUGUUUCAUGACUAGUAGAACAACUUCAACACUUUCAAGCUUUUUAGGAAGAAAUCACACAGAGUUCUUUUGACAGUGGAGACAUUCUUUCAGGAAACUGUCUUUGUAAAUAAUCACUUUAGGAGAUGGUAGAGUUUAAAGACUUAUCAUGCUUUGAAGAUAAAAUAUGAUUUGUAGUUGAGUUAUUUUAGUCUUUUAAUAAUAGAUUUAGAACAUCUAAAAUAAUCUAUUUUGUUGUCUCGCAAAUCAUGCUGAAGCCUUGAGCCAAAGCAUUUUUUUCAUGGAAUCAGAAAGACUGUUCAAGACUUAUUUGGUAGCACACCAAAAUAUUUUCUUCUUAAUUUAGGUAACCUUAUUUUAAACUGAAUUUAAUUACCUAUGCUAGGAUAAACUUUAGAAUUGGAGAUAGGAAAUAGUUAAGUGAUAUGAGAUGGGGUGAAGGAGUUGGGAUUCCUGGGUUUUACUCCUGCUUCUGCCCCUAACUCCCUAUGUUAUUUCUCUUUCUACAAAUAUUUCUUUGCCUUGGAUACUCAUGGUUAUUCCACGUCAGACUUUUAAAAGUACCAUAGUUGCACAUAGUAAUGGCAGGAUAACUCUAAAUGUCUCUUAGUGCAGACCUUAAAUUGGGUAUUCCCACCCAUAGCUUAUGGGCAACAUGCCUGUAAGACCCUCUAUUGUUCACUGUUCCAAAGGAUUAAAAAAUUAAAUUUAACUUGAUGGGAAAAUUAAAGUCUGAUGUUGCCUGCAGCACAUUAUUUGUUCUGUAUUGUUGCUCAGUGAAGGUUUGGGGACCACUGCCGAAGAGGAAAUGUUUUGCAAUCUCAUUCCCUAGAAUUUGUACCCUCUGUACCAGCUAACCACCUUACAGGACAAUUGCAUCCUUGUAACCUAGAAGUAGUGAAGAAUUAAUUUUGAAAUCUGUUAUUCCCCCUUGCUAAUAAGUGAGAAUCUCAUCCACUCCUGGUAAAUAACUAAACUCUCAUAUCUAUUACAAUCUCUGCUUUGACUGAACCAGACAUGAUGAAGGAAGAACAUAUUUGGGGUAUGUUUAUACAGCACAAAGAAGAGUCAGGCUGAGAUGCUCUGCACCUAAUACUUACCAAACAUCAAGGCCAGUUCCUCUGUUGGAAGUGCACUACCAAGAAGGCGCUGCUGUGCAUACAUUACUAUUGGAAUGAUAUGCAUUUUCAUUGGAGUUGGACUAACCGU
Molecule: RNA transcript, 5382 nt
Organism: Alligator sinensis (Chinese alligator)
Lineage: Eukaryota; Metazoa; Chordata; Crocodylia; Alligatoridae
Gene: PIP4P2
Gene name: phosphatidylinositol-4,5-bisphosphate 4-phosphatase 2
Exons: 9
Source: RefSeq, a predicted model, not a curated record